GGAGGGGUCGCAUAGUUGGUCUAGUGCGGUCGCCUGCUAAGCGACAGUGGGGUUAAUAGCUCCACCGAGGGUUCGAAUCCCUCCCCCUCCGCCA
This 94-nucleotide transfer RNA is filed under the name Chloroflexota bacterium. RNAcentral's name for it is "Chloroflexi bacterium tRNA-Ser". It matches the Rfam family "tRNA". Rfam says of the family: Transfer RNA (tRNA) molecules are approximately 80 nucleotides in length. Lineage: Bacteria; Bacillati; Chloroflexota. The record is from RNAcentral.